AGAGUUUGAUCAUGGCUCAGGAUGAACGCUAGCGGCAGGCCUAACACAUGCAAGUCGAGGGGUAACGAUGUCUUCGGACAGGCGACGACCGGCGCACGGGUGAGUAUCGCGUUUGUAACCUACCUUUAACUGGAGCAUAGCCCGAAGAAAUUCGGAUUAAUACUCCAUAAUACUAUGAUCUGGCAUCUUUUUAUAGUUAAAGCUCCGGCGGUUAAAGAUGGACAUGCGUAACAUUAGUUUGUUGGUGAGGUAACGGCUCACCAAGACUACGAUGUUUAGGGGGUCUGAGAGGAUGGUCCCCCACACUGGUACUGAGACACGGACCAGACUCCUACGGGAGGCAGCAGUGAGGAAUAUUGGUCAAUGGGCGAAAGCCUGAACCAGCCAUGCCGCGUGAAGGAUGACAGCGCUACGCGUUGUAAACUUCUUUUGUACAGGAAGAAACACUUCUACGUGUAGAAGCUUGACGGUACUGUACGAAUAAGCAUCGGCUAACUCCGUGCCAGCAGCCGCGGUAAUACGGAGGAUGCAAGCGUUAUCCGGAUUUAUUGGGUUUAAAGGGUACGUAGGCGGAAAAUUAAGUCAGUAGUGAAAUCCCGCAGCUUAACUGUGGAACUGUUAUUGAUACUGGUUUUCUUGAAUUUAGUUGAGGUAGGCGGAAUGUGUAAUGUAGCGGUGAAAUGCUUAGAUAUUACACAGAACACCGAUUGCGAAGGC
This 717-nucleotide ribosomal RNA is filed under the name uncultured bacterium. RNAcentral's name for it is "bacterial SSU rRNA". It matches the Rfam family "Bacterial small subunit ribosomal RNA", at positions 8 to 722 of the family's 1533-position model. The record is from RNAcentral.